Molecule: ribosomal RNA, 488 nt
Filed under: Cuspidaria latesulcata
Lineage: Eukaryota; Metazoa; Mollusca; Bivalvia; Cuspidariidae
Description: partial 16S ribosomal RNA
Rfam family: Bacterial large subunit ribosomal RNA
Source: RNAcentral
CGCCUCUCGUGUUUAUUUUAGAUGGGAGGUUUUACCUGCUCUGAUGAGUAAGAUUAAAUAGCCAGAAUCAUUGUUAAAGUAGCAUAAUCUCUUAUCUCUUAAUUAGAGGUUUGUUGAAUGGUUUGACGAGAAUUUAGCUGUCUUAAUUUAAUAAAAUGAAAUUAACCUCCAAAUUAAAAGGUUUGGAUAUAAUAAAUAGACGAGACGACCCUAUCGAGUUUUUAAUUAUAAUAAUUAAGUAAUAUAUUAUAAGUUUUGGUUGGGGCAACCUAAAGAAAAAAAAAUCUCUUUAAGAAAUUUAAUUCUGAUAGGAAUAAGAUCCAAAUAUAUUUUGAUUAGAAGAAUAAAACUACCGUAGGGGUAACAGCGUGAAAUUAUUUGAGAGUUCUUAUUGAAAAUAGAAUUUGCGACCUCGAUGUUGGACCAGGGUAACCUGUAUGGUUGUAGAAGCUUAAAAGGUAAGUCUGUUCGACUUUUAAAACCCUACG